This 56-nucleotide ribosomal RNA is filed under the name Fusarium oxysporum. RNAcentral's name for it is "partial 28S ribosomal RNA". It matches the Rfam family "Eukaryotic large subunit ribosomal RNA", at positions 1 to 55 of the family's 3401-position model. The record is from RNAcentral. Lineage: Eukaryota; Fungi; Ascomycota; Sordariomycetes; Hypocreales; Nectriaceae. RNAcentral also lists the same sequence under 9 other names.
UUGACCUCGGAUCAGGUAGGAAUACCCGCUGAACUUAAGCAUAUCAAUAAGCGGAG